Chelonia mydas (Green sea turtle) is the source of this 3877-nucleotide long non-coding RNA. RefSeq lists it as uncharacterized. Lineage: Eukaryota; Metazoa; Chordata; Testudines; Cheloniidae. The record is from RefSeq and is a predicted model, not a curated record. The transcript has 2 exons.
GCCCGGAGAGAUACAGGGCUCGGGGGGAGGAGCAAACACGCAGCGCCCGCCCGCACCAAAACCCGGAAGCGGAAGCGGAACCACAACCGGACGCCAGUAACUUAUCGCCUUCCCAGGGUGCACCUGGCAGGGGCGCGGCGCAGCGCAGGUGUUAGGGGGCUUCUUCCUUCACCCACUCACUUCCCUGGUCCUUCUCGCAUGAACAGAGAGCAACAAUACCCGAAGUCCAAAGGUGCAAACAAUUCGAUGUUUAUUGGGGUGAACUUCCAGCAAGCAUGAUUCCAGUUUCCUUCCUUAGUAUCCUCCUUCCCAGCUCUGACACCACAGAGCCUUACACCUGUGUUCCUGUUCCCAUUCCUGCCCUUAGCCAAACAUGAUUCCAAUUUCCUUACUCCCAUUCCCUGUUCCCAUUUCCCCCUUUAGCAAAACAUGAUUCCAAUUUCUCCACCCCCAUUCCCUGUUCCCAUCUCUCCCACGCCCACCCCCUCCCACCAAGGCCCCCUCCUCUACUUCCUGAUUGACUGCAGACUAUAUAGUAAAACUUGAGUUCUGCUUAGCUAUACCUUAACCAAUCAUUUUCCUGAAAUUUAACUAACCAAUCCUAACAUAUUGUAACAUGAUUAUGUAACCAAUUAUAUCCUACCACCUUAAUUAGUUUACACCCAGCAAAAUUAAUUAUACAGCAGACAGGAACAAUCACAGAACCAGACAGAUUAUACAGAAACAAUAACAAAGUGGGAACUAUAAUGACAAAACAAUACAGAAGUGAGGAUUUCACAUCCCAGUAUUGAUAAGUGAGUUCGUGCCAGACAGGAUGCUGUUUCCUUUUACAUUUUCUAGGCACUUCCCUUUCUCUGGAGGUGAUAGGCAUUAUCAGGACAGGAUUGUAUUCCUAACAGCCCAAUAGCACCUUCUUUCAAUGUGACUAGUUUGGAAGGUGAGGAUGUGACCUGUCGCUUCCUAGCUUAUGGCUGCCUCUGCUGCUUAGGCAAAGGCCUUAGCCUAAGAACAGGGCCUCAGACUGUCACAGUAAGAGAAGGCCCUUACACCGGCAGACAGUGAUUUUGAUUCUCUUUUGUACCUCUAUAACUAGCCAAGUGAUAAGAAGACACCAAAAUUCUUAGAGUAUAGGCCUUUACAGACAGGCCUGAAUAUCUAUAUCCUAACACCAGGAACCAUUCAAGAUAUUGGUUAUUUACUUUGCAGUUAACAAAUAUGUACCCAUCCCCAGUUCUUGCCAUAUAUGCCAUGUUUAAGCAUCUAAAUUAAGAAAUAAAAUUGACAAUCAAUUCAAAGAGACCCCCAUUCCUGAAUAAAUAAAACUCACUCUGUUCUAGCUUUGCUAAAGAAAUGACCUGAGAAAAAUGCUAAUUUUACAAAGGUAUACACAUGUGCUUAACUUCAAUUUGAGUAGUCCCAUUGAAGGGACUAAGGGUUAUCAGGCCAGCUGAGGGAGAGGAUUCUAGAAGCAGGGAACCUCUGCUGAGCAUCCUUGCCUCCAGAGUUCAACUGUGGAACCAUGGAAGGAGGGAAGGAGAGAAGCACUCUAAGGUAGUGAGCACCAAAACCUUAUGGGGCUUUAGAGAUUCUAACCUACACAUUGAACUGUACCUAGAAAAAACAUUAGCUAAUACAAAGAGGAAUGCCUUAUGAGCUCAAAGUACGGAAUAAAAUGACCCACAAAUAGACCUGUGAAGUCACUGCAUUUUGAAUUACAUCUAUAAAUUCAGUCUUUCACUUGGUCACCCUCCUCCCCAACCUUUUCAUCAUUAUUUUCAAUCAUUUGGGAAGUUGAGUGAAAUUUUUAGUUGUUUUGGAUGUGCCCAUGCGCAGUUCAGAUCCUGUUGCAGGAAUAAAAACAAAAAGAUAGGGCAGUCAGCCAACCCUAUCAGGUAACCUAGAAGAGCCUUAACUCCUCCUACCACAAUGAUAAGCACCCUUGGUUCCCCAACUGGUCCUACUGACAAAUUGCAUCAGCACUGCUUGCAGAAGAGAAGGAAACGUAUUGUACCCGGAUAUUACAGCACUUCCUCUUUUCUUGAAUACAGUGCUGUACACAAGUGAGAUUAGUGUGCUCUGCUCUCCCAGCCCCUACAUCCAGUCUCCACUGAAGACUAGAUUCUACUACUCUUACUGAUUUCAGUGGGCCCGCUUCUGGAAUAAUUUGCUACUCAGAGUAAGAAUGGCCACACCUGGCCCUGAAGGAGUAAGAGAAAUUGGCGAAGAAGAGGAGAAAAGGAAAAAGCUUUGCUUGCUGCUGCUUUGUUACGGUGGUAGGGUGACAUAAGUUAUGAUCUAUAGAGCCGUGAAAAGUCUAUGUGCCAGCUACCUGUGGGAAUGCCUCUCUCCCUGUGGCACAUUGUAGUGACUAAGGUAUAAUUUACACUAGAAGAAGUUUGCUAGUAAUAGCUUAUAAAACUCCCCCAAAUUUACCAAGCUACACUGGCUAAAGCAUUUUUUUCCAUUAUAAGCAAAUAGACAAGGGCUUUUGCCGAUAUCAAAAAGUGUUGUUUAAAAAAAAAAAUUACACCCCUAAACUAAAGUUACAAAUAUCUUCAAAGGUUACUAGUGUAGCCCUGGCAUAAGUUGACCUUUAGGUUUCUGGUUGUCAGAUCCUAGAACUGUUCACAACUAGCAGCAGGGUGUUCUCAAUUAAAGAACCUUAUAAAAAAGAUUAUGCUCACUGCAGGACACCAGAGGCAAAUUAGGCAAUUUUCAUUUAGUCAGGCCUUCAACUCACAAUUGAUGGUCACAGUGAAGGGUGCUUUAGCAGAUAGAUUUAUUUGACUGACGAAACAUCUGCAGUCAAUGGCUCCAGAAACUAUAGUACUGUACAUAUGCAUUUAUAUAAAUUUAACUGUAGUUAGGUUCAUAGGUGCUACAUAUUGAUAGACACUGAACAUAUUUAAAUAAUUAAAAUAUAAAAACAGUCAAGAUUAUUAAUUUAAAUACUCAAAAUUUAUAUUAAUCUUCAAUUUGACUUACACAACCUGUAUAAUUAUAUAUUUAAGACCACAAACAGAGCUCAUUAGAAAAUGGAUAUUUGUUGCACAUGAAAUUCUGACAUUUUCAAAUUUACUUCCUGUCCAAAUCAGGACAAAAGUAAAAAUUUAGAAAUUUACCACAGAACAAAAAUUCUGAAGUAUUUUAUGUAGGAAGCAUCAAAAUGACAUCUAAAUAUUUUGUUUCAAUAAUGUUGAAAUAAUAUAAAUAUAAAGGAUAUAAAUAUUGAAUAGAAUAUUAAAAUAAGUUUUGAAAAGUGAAAAAGUUGGAAUGAAAUAAGUCAAAACCAGAUGAGAGACUAAAUGAAAUUUCCAUUUGAAUUUGAAUCCUAUUGAAUAUUUUUUGUCAGCGCUUUCCUGAAAAAUGUUUAGAUUUUGAUGAAACAGCAUUUCCUAAGGAAAAUCUGGUCAACAUUUUUUAAACAAACAGUAUAUUCACGUAUGCAUUUAAUAAUUCAUACAGGAAUAGGAUGUACAAUAUUUGUUCAAUGUGUUCUAAGUAAUUACUAUGAAAAUGUUAACUUUUUUCCUUUCCUGAAAUUUGUUACCAUAACAAUAUGUGGGUGCCUGGAAGAUGUUAUCCAGUGAGAAGUCAUCAUCCACCUCUCUGGCUUAAUUUGUAGUAUGUUAUAGUUUAUAUAAGAUCUGUAUUACAGUUAUUGAACUUGUAGACUUUCAAACUGUAUUAGUGAAGCCAAAAAACCUUUUAAAGCUUCAGAGUUUGUUCUUGAAAUGGUUAUCAACUCCCUGGUGAAAGGCACUCUUCUGUAGAGAUCAUUAAUCUUGCAAGAGAAUCUGUUUCUGCAUCUGUUAAAGAAUAUUUCUUACAUUACACACCUCCUACCUAAAUAUUAAAUACAAUAAUUUAAAACCGA